RNAcentral lists this ribosomal RNA (1437 nucleotides) under uncultured bacterium. RNAcentral describes it as "16S ribosomal RNA". It matches the Rfam family "Bacterial small subunit ribosomal RNA". The record is from RNAcentral.
UGAACGCUAGCUACAGGCUUAACACAUGCAAGUCGAGGGGCAGCAUGGUCUUAGCUUGCUAAGGCCGAUGGCGACCGGCGCACGGGUGAGUAACACGUAUCCAACCUGCCGUCUACUCUUGGACAGCCUUCUGAAAGGAAGAUUAAUACAAGAUGGCAUCAUGAGUCCGCAUGUUCACAUGAUUAAAGGUAUUCCGGUAGACGAUGGGGAUGCGUUCCAUUAGAUAGUAGGCGGGGUAACGGCCCACCUAGUCUUCGAUGGAUAGGGGUUCUGAGAGGAAGGUCCCCCACAUUGGAACUGAGACACGGUCCAAACUCCUACGGGAGGCAGCAGUGAGGAAUAUUGGUCAAUGGGCGAGAGCCUGAACCAGCCAAGUAGCGUGAAGGAUGACUGCCCUAUGGGUUGUAAACUUCUUUUAUAAAGGAAUAAAGUCGGGUAUGGAUACCCGUUUGCAUGUACUUUAUGAAUAAGGAUCGGCUAACUCCGUGCCAGCAGCCGCGGUAAUACGGAGGAUCCGAGCGUUAUCCGGAUUUAUUGGGUUUAAAGGGAGCGUAGAUGGAUGUUUAAGUCAGUUGUGAAAGUUUGCGGCUCAACCGUAAAAUUGCAGUUGAUACUGGAUAUCUUGAGUGCAGUUGAGGCAGGCGGAAUUCGUGGUGUAGCGGUGAAAUGCUUAGAUAUCACGAAGAACUCCGAUUGCGAAGGCAGCCUGCUAAGCUGCAACUGACAUUGAGGCUCGAAAGUGUGGGUAUCAAACAGGAUUAGAUACCCUGGUAGUCCACACGGUAAACGAUGAAUACUCGCUGUUUGCGAUAUACAGCAAGCGGCCAAGCGAAAGCGUUAAGUAUUCCACCUGGGGAGUACGCCGGCAACGGUGAAACUCAAAGGAAUUGACGGGGGCCCGCACAAGCGGAGGAACAUGUGGUUUAAUUCGAUGAUACGCGAGGAACCUUACCCGGGCUUAAAUUGCAGAUGAAUUACGGUGAAAGCCGUAAGCCGCAAGGCAUCUGUGAAGGUGCUGCAUGGUUGUCGUCAGCUCGUGCCGUGAGGUGUCGGCUUAAGUGCCAUAACGAGCGCAACCCUUGUUGUCAGUUACUAACAGGUUCCGCUGAGGACUCUGACAAGACUGCCAUCGUAAGAUGUGAGGAAGGUGGGGAUGACGUCAAAUCAGCACGGCCCUUACGUCCGGGGCUACACACGUGUUACAAUGGGGGGUACAGAGGGCCGCUACCACGCGAGUGGAUGCCAAUCCCAAAAACCUCUCUCAGUUCGGACUGGAGUCUGCAACCCGACUCCACGAAGCUGGAUUCGCUAGUAAUCGCGCAUCAGCCACGGCGCGGUGAAUACGUUCCCGGGCCUUGUACACACCGCCCGUCAAGCCAUGGGAGCCGGGGGUACCUGAAGUGCGUAACCGCGAGGAGCGCCCUAGGGUAAAACUGG